This 465-nucleotide ribosomal RNA is filed under the name uncultured Klebsiella sp. RNAcentral's name for it is "bacterial SSU rRNA". It matches the Rfam family "Bacterial small subunit ribosomal RNA", at positions 338 to 795 of the family's 1533-position model. Lineage: Bacteria; Pseudomonadati; Pseudomonadota; Gammaproteobacteria; Enterobacterales; Enterobacteriaceae. The record is from RNAcentral.
CCUACGGGUGGCUGCAGUGGGGAAUAUUGCACAAUGGGCGCAAGCCUGAUGCAGCCAUGCCGCGUGUGUGAAGAAGGCCUUCGGGUCGUAAAGCACUUUCAGCGGGGAGGAAGGCGGUGAGGUUAAUAACCUUAUCGAUUGACGUUACCCGCAGAAGAAGCACCGGCUAACUCCGUGCCAGCAGCCGCGGUAAUACGGAGGGUGCAAGCGUUAAUCGGAAUUACUGGGCGUAAAGCGCACGCAGGCGGUCUGUCAAGUCGGAUGUGAAAUCCCCGGGCUCAACCUGGGAACUGCAUUCGAAACUGGCAGGCUAGAGUCUUGUAGAGGGGGGUAGAAUUCCAGGUGUAGCGGUGAAAUGCGUAGAGAUCUGGAGGAAUACCGGUGGCGAAGGCGGCCCCCUGGACAAAGACUGACGCUCAGGUGCGAAAGCGUGGGGAGCAAACAGGAUUAGAUACCCUUGUAGUC